Molecule: long non-coding RNA, 145 nt
Organism: Frieseomelitta varia
Lineage: Eukaryota; Metazoa; Arthropoda; Insecta; Hymenoptera; Apidae
Exons: 3
Source: RefSeq, a predicted model, not a curated record
CCGUGUCCUUUUCUCUUUCUACUUUCUCGUUUUCUCUUCGGCACGCGGAGGAUACGGCCUCGGCAUCGGUCGUUCCGGAGCAGAUGAAGAGAACUGGCGACGUGUUCGCGGGCCUUCACACGGCUGCUCCGAUCUGAAGAGCACA